RNAcentral lists this ribosomal RNA (468 nucleotides) under uncultured bacterium. Its description in RNAcentral is "partial 16S ribosomal RNA". It matches the Rfam family "Bacterial small subunit ribosomal RNA", at positions 28 to 507 of the family's 1533-position model. The record is from RNAcentral.
GACGAACGCUGGCGGCGUGCUUAACACAUGCAAGUCGAACGGAAAGGCCCUGCUUUUGUGGGGUGCUCGAGUGGCGAACGGGUGAGUAACACGUUAGUAACCUGCCCUUGACUUUGGGAUAACUUCAGGAAACUGGGGCUAAUACCGGAUAGGAGCUCCUGCUGCAUGGUGGGGGUUGGAAAGUUUCGGCGGUUGGGGAUGGACUCGCGGCUUAUCAGCUUGUUGGUGGGGUAGUUGCUUACCAAGGCUUUGACGGGUAGCCGGCCUGAGAGGGUGACCGGACACAUUGGGACUGAGAUACGGCCCAGACUCCGACGGGAGGCAGCAGUGGGGAAUAUUGCACAAUGGGAGGAAGCCUGAUGCAGCAACGCCGCGUGCGGGAUGACGGCCUUCGGGUUGUAAACCGCUUUCGCCUGUGACGAAGCGUGAGUGACGGUAAUGGGUAAAGAAGCACCGGCUAACUACGUG